RNAcentral lists this ribosomal RNA (497 nucleotides) under uncultured bacterium. RNAcentral describes it as "partial 16S ribosomal RNA". It matches the Rfam family "Bacterial small subunit ribosomal RNA", at positions 28 to 523 of the family's 1533-position model. The record is from RNAcentral.
GAUGAACGCUGGCGGCGUGCUUAACACAUGCAAGUCGAACGAAGCACUCUAUUUGAUUUUUUUCGGAAAUGAAGAUUUUGUGACUGAGUGGCGGACGGGUGAGUAACGCGUGGGUAACCUGCCUCAUACAGGGGGAUAACAGUUGGAAACGACUGCUAAUACCGCAUAAGCGCACAGUACUGCAUGGUACAGUGUGAAAAACUCCGGUGGUAUGAGAUGGACCCGCGGCUGAUUAGCUAGUUGGUGGGGUAACGGGCUACCAAGGCGACGAUCCGUAGCCGACCUGAGAGGGUGACCGGCCCCAUUGGGACUGAGACACGGCCCAAACUCCUACGGGAGGCAGCAGUGGGGAAUAUUGCACAAUGGGGGAAACCCUGAUGCAGCGACGCCGCGUGAACGAAGAAGUAUUUCGGUAUGUAAAGUUCUAUCAGCAGGGAAGAUAAUGACGGUACCUGACUAAGAAGCACCGGCUAAAUACGUGCCAGCCGCCGCGGUAA